This is a long non-coding RNA of Cheilinus undulatus (humphead wrasse), 5996 nucleotides long. RefSeq lists it as uncharacterized. The record is from RefSeq and is a predicted model, not a curated record. NCBI's taxonomy places the organism in Eukaryota, Metazoa, Chordata, Actinopteri, Labriformes, Labridae. The transcript is spliced from 3 exons.
UUUCGGUAUCUGAAAGAACCAGAUAUUCUACACUUCUGACUUCCUCUUCUGGAGCUUUCUGAUUGAUGUGGUUUGGCAGCGGCUGGCGCUGAAAAUAGACCUGCAGCGUAUCUCGAACGAAAGCGGAGCAAAGUGUUGGUCCAGGCAUGCACCACUGCCGGUCUGGAGUGCCGGCUGUGGAAAUGCUCUGAUAGACAAGAGAGGGAGCAAUGUGCUCCGCAGUAUGAUUCGCCAGCGUUUCGUGGCGCAUUCGCUGUAUGUGGAAAUUGGAGGUUAAGCUGAGCCCAGCCACCCUCCUGAGAAUCUCAUUUCGAUUGCUUGACCCUGCAAUCUUUCAGUUAUUACCCAGAGUUCAUGGCCAUAGGUGAAGGUUGAAAAUCAACCAGUAAUUUGAGAGUUUUACCUUUCGGCUUAGCUCCCUCUCCACCACAAUGGUGCGGUACAAUGCCUGCAAUACCAACCCGCCUGUUGAUCUCCCUUCUACCCUCACUCCUGACUCCUGAACAAGACCCCAAAGUACUUGAACUCCUUCACUUGGGACAAAGACACUCUUCCCACCCGCAGGGAGCAACCAACUGUCUUCUAGCAGAGAACCAUGGCGUCAGACUUGGAGUUGCUGACCCUUAACCUGACUUCAAGUCAAGGGGGGAAAUUCACAUUAAAUUAAAAAAAAAAAAAAAAUAGCCAAUCUUAUUAUGGCUCUUAUUCCUCUUUCAGUUGUUUUGAAGCAGGACAAAAAUUUGAUUAACAGCAGUUAGUUUCAGGCCAUGAAGCCCAGCCCAGGAACACAAAAACAUGUUUUGAAACACACACAAAAAAGUUGUUAAAUCAAGAUAAAGAAAAUGUCGCAAAUGCAAAGAUACUCAGGGCAUUGAAACAUUUAAACAGUAAGACACUGAGCAAUAUUACUGGAUGAUGUGGGGAUUUUCAAACAAACAUUACCUGAAACGAAACCAUCAAGUCCCCAGUGAUAAGAUCUGAGGUGUGUUUUUAUUCAAAUAUUGACGCCUAUUUGGUUUUACCAGUGAAAACUCCCACAGUUCUGCUGCCAAUCAGAUAUAAAUCAGGACUGUAAACAUCCUGGUUCAGAGCAUGUCACACGCUGGCACUGCAGUAAAAUAGGACUUUUGUUUCGUCAACUUCAGGACGGAGAGUGGGUGUGCUGCACACAUGACUGAGAAUCAAUACAAUCAUCUCUGCCUCUGUUUAAUCAGUCCUUGUCUUCACAGCUGUGAGGAUAUAAUGUACUGCAGCAAAUUAUACUUGGUGUGGCCAUGUCUGAAAUGUUACCUGUAUGAUAGCUCUGAGGGCGUGUGCAGGAAGGUGUUGUGAAGAACUGAUCCAAACAAUACAAUUGAAUAAACUCAACUGUGGACAAGCAGACAAGCAUUAUAAAACACCUUAGCAUGAAGUUUACAUAGAGUCUAAAGUACACCCACACAUGAGUCUUUAUCACAUUCCUCCGGUCUGUGAUGUAAGUUUAAACACAUGCAUGAAAAAUGUGAAGCUUCCAUUUAUAACCUGCAUACAGUAUGGCGCCUGAAGGCAUCACACAGGGUCAAAACAAUCACCAGAUAAGACAAAAAGGGUUAAUUAUGGAGCUGGUGUUGUUUUCCUACUGUCCAAUUAAUAAUUCAUAAUACACUCACUGGUGUUUUCUGGCAGGAAGCAUUGAUUAGUCAGUAAUGAGCUGUUUGGUGGUACAAAAGACAGUCAUCAGCAAUAGCUUUGCAUAGUAACACCGUGGCUGCAAUACUGCCAUAGUCCCAGUGAGGGCUGCACGGUGGCUUAGUGGAGUUUGCAGGAUCUCCCUGUGCAUGCAUGGGUUCCCUCCAGAUACUCCUGCUUCCUUCCACAGACAUGCUCAAUAGCUGACUGAUGGUGCUAAAUUGUCCGUAGGUGUGAGAGUAACUACUUCUUUGUCUUUAUUUGAGACUUGUGACUGACUGGAGACCAGUCCAGGGUGUAACCUGCCUCUGGCCCUGUGACAGCAGGGAUUGGAUCCCUCGUUCUAAAGGUAUCUUUAAGCAAGGCAGCAAACCUGCAAGAGCUCAGACACUAUUUCAUGAGAAACCCCACACUCUGACAUCUCUUAUGUGUAUUUUUGACUUAUGUGUAUAUGACAUGAUGGGAAAACAGACAAAUCAACCCCUUGGGGAUUGAUAAAGUAUCUUCUUUGUCCUCAUCAUGGCUUUCUGAAGAGUCCUAGUGAAUCCCAGGGAUGUUUGCAAUAUUGGAAAUGCCGUCUCAGCUUAACUUUCAGUCACCCUGGUAUUAGGUAGAAAGGAGGAACUGAGAUGGAUUUUCAGCCUCCUGGUAAACAGCUCCAGUCUGCACACAUGGUCAGAUCAGUCAUGCCCCUAUAAUAGAUAACACAUAGCCUUUAAAUAAUUAGAAGGAAUCAGUAGUAAACUAGAACUACCUGGUGAUGGCAUGCAAACAUGCCAUGAACCUGCUGUCCGUCAAUUUUGUAGCCAAUCAAGAGUCAGCUACGUUUCCUGCAAAAAGACAUUCAACGGCAUCUUUUCAUUGCUGCUUCCAGAGAUUCUUUACAGCCCAACAAUCAACCCGAGAAGCUGGAAUGGAGUUCAGAAACAUGGUCUGGAACAUGAUCGUUAUCUGCACUUCCAUAGAGAUGUCUGCAUAUAGACUACUCAAGAAUAGAUGGCAUCAGAUGACCGACAAUGGGAGCCAGUUUUAUUUAGCUUUGGAUUGUGUUCCACUACAUUUGCUCUCCACACUGAUUCUUUUCCCUUAUAUGACCUCUUCUCCUCUCACUGGAGCUGCUUUGUGAUUAACACUAUCUGCUGUGUGUGCUAAAUGUGAAUCAAAAUACAUCAGACAGACUGAAGCGGAAGGCGUCAGCAUUCCCAUUCUUGCCUAAAUAUAGCCAGAGGGGGGAUAUAUGAGAUGACAUCCCAUAAUUCACACAAGUGGUCUUUAACUUGUUGUGCAAUCCCAAUUACUCAUGAAGUGAGGCUUUUAUUUAGACUGAAUGUUGUCAUCCUGCUUUUCAGAGCCCAGAUCCUAUCUCAGCUGUCAGGCUGUGCUCUAGACAGCUGCAGUGACACAACCAGAAGUGAAAAAGAAACUUAUUACAAACCGCAAGUGAGUAAAAUAUGAGUAAGGACUGCUGUAAUCAGGAUUCUUGGCUGUGGAAAGACUUCUACAGGACCUUAUAUGGACUGAAAGAAUAAAAAACACUAAGGAGCUGUUCCUGCCAGAUGUAUACAACUGAAUCACUGAUUAAAUGGACCAAAGCUCAGAAUUUAUGCGCUCACUCUGUUUGAGCUGAGUCAGGAUGGAGCGUUGACAGUUCUCAGUAAGGUUUCCCAGAUGGAAAAUGAAGUCAGAGCUCCAUGUAUUUCCGCUGACUCAUUCCAUCACACAGGCAUGCCUGCUGUCGCCAUGGUGCUUUUAAAAUACUGCCGGACAGUUUGCACUGUUAUGAUAAGGACCAAAAAAAUGUUAAGGAAGUGGCUGUGCUGUCUUUGUGCAUGAGUAUGCAGAUGUAAGAUGUCCCAGAAGUUAUUCGACUGGUCGAUGAAAGCAGAUCCAGCUGUGACUGGCCAGCAUGGACCACUGAGUUGAAUCAAGCCCAAGUCCACAGUCAGCAAUGUCACCCAAAAACUGGGUCCAAACUGGCCUGAAACAGCGUAGUGUGCACCCGGCUUAAGCAGUGUUGCUAGGCACACUUAUUAUAAGCAACUAUGGCAAACAUUAUGGGGGAAUCUCCCAAAGUGCCUUGUGAAUCAUAAAGAGGAUGGUUUCUCAACUGUCAAAAUACAAAUAAAUAAGGUUUGAAAACUAUUGCCUUGUAGGCACUGGGACAGUUUGUGGCUGAGUGCGAAGCAGUUGGGAUGAGUGUCAACACCUCCAUGUCUGAGCCCAUGGUUCUCUGCUGAAAAACAGUGGGUUGCUCCCUCUGGGUAGGGAGAGUGUCUUUGCCCUAAGUGAAGGAGUUAAGCACCUCUGGAUCUUGUUCAUGAGUGAGGGUAGAAGGGACGCCUCCUGGUUGCCUCCCUGUGGAGGUUUUCUAGAUGUUUCCAACUGGGACGAGACCCCGGAGUAGACCCAGGACUCACUGGAGGGAUACUAUAUCUCAUCUGGCCUGGGAAACCCCAGAAUCCCCCAGGAAGAGCUGAAAAAUGUCUCUGGGGAGAGAGACGUCUAGGGGGGCACUCAAAACAACAGUAAAGGCAACGUGGUAGAGGUGAACUGGAAUGAGCGUGGUGAAGUUGCUGCAAUGUUAAAUAAAGAAUAACUGCACUACACAAGAAUGAAAACGCCACCUGAGGGAAAAGCAUCAGCCUUUAAGAGCGUCACUGUCCAGUUCUACAGCAGGAAUCCUCACUGCACAGGAUUGAACUCUGGUUCUGGAUAUCUGUGGUCACUUUAUUUUCAUGACUUUAUGCAUCUAUCCCACAUUUCCUCAGUGAAAGCAGCACUUUUUAAAGCACAUGCAUGUUCAUUUGCAUUGACGCUUGCACAUAAUAGUGAUUUUUUUAUUUGAUUCUGUAGAAAAAUAAAAGACAGAGGCGGAUGGUCAAAGAAGCAGACACAAGCCAUGCAGGAGGUAAAUGUUCCUAAACCUCCCUGCUAGCCUCCAGCAUGUUCCACUGUCAACUCAAACAUUCAAAUACAUGCUAAUGACAAGAAACGCAAAGACUUACAAGAUUUUCAGUCUGCAUGCUCAUGUGGUUCUGUGUGCACCUAUGUGAUUAGAAUGAGCUGCUAAUAUGAAAUAAAACACAAGUAGGACAACAUUGAGGAUCAUUCUGAUUAUUCAAAAAGGAUGCUCAGUGUUGACAGCACUGACAGAUAGAGCAGGAUUCUCUGCCUGGUACUAACAAAGCAAAUGUUUAUUUUUAUUCUUAAUUGCUUAAGUGUACGAUAUAUUAUACAUGCCUUUCUAUUUAUUAAGGCUUUAAAAUCAUUAAAUGUGGAAUUUAUUUUUUUCCAGGGGAAAAAUGAAUUCUGAGAGUUUUUGGAUUUUUAGAUUUUAUUUUGUUAGAUUUUCUUUAAAUAAUUAAUUUCUGCUAAAAUCACUGAGAAUUUUCUGUUGUUGUAAAUCAUUUUCUGUUAUUCAGUCCUGGCAAACCUUGUCUGGGUUAAGGUUUCUUUAUCUCAGAAUAAAGCAUAAAAUUUUAUUCAGUCAUCUUUUUUAAAAAAAGAACAAGAAGUGUUCUAAAAAUCUCAUAUUUUCACUUCCUGUUGAAGUGAUUUGCUACACUUUUUUAAAUGCUUAAAAUUUUUCUGCCCAGGAUGUGAAUUUAUUGUAAAUAAACUUUGAUUUAAUGCAGUAAAUGUAAACAUUGUUGAUUCAUAUUUCAUAUUAUAUUUAAAUUAUACCUCACUUUUUAUGUAAUGCUAAAUAUUCUGUCAGACUUUCUUUUAACAAAUGAUUUUUUAUUUUCAGAGUUCUUUUAAUAAUUUUGCUUUAUAUUUAGAGCUAAAUAAGGCCAGAGGGUGCUGGAAGGUGAAUAUGUUGAAGUUUGAAUGAGGGGAAAUUAGUUUAUAAUUAAGGGAAAUUCAUUAAAAUCAGACUGACAUUUACAGGAUUUCAUUUCUAAAAAUGAAUAAGUGUUUUAUAUUUAUGAUCAGGACUCAUGUUGGUUUAAGAAAUGAAUUCAAUCAAAGUGGAGAAUAUUAUUAAUGUGUAGUAAUUUUGUUGAGAUUUAUGUUUGUCGAGCAUUUUUGUCGUGAACAUGCUGAAUGUUUGAUCUCCAUUUGUUGGAAAGACGAUUGUUUCCUGUUGUAGAUAAAUGCUGACAGUAUGAACUUCAGUGAAUACGAUCCAGUCUUUACUGAUGAUAUUUUGCUUUGCACUUUAUUACAUGUUCAAUAUUGUUAUUUCAUGCACCUUAAAGACUGUGAUGAAUGUAUGCAGCACUUUGUAGCUGAUGAUAAAUAUGAAUUUUGUUUACUGAGAGAAAAAAUCAAAUAAAGUUGUUUGGCGUGUGGGUGAGUUCUGCACGUGCAAUCGUGUGUCUUCA